CUUUACUGUAGCCUGGGAUUGGCUUCGGGCGGUGCUUGCGCAGUAUAGGUGGGAGACGUUGAGAAUAUUCUUGCGGGAGUAUUGGAGUCAUCAGUGAGAUACCACUCUUGUAAUGUUAGAUUUCUAACUUUGGAUCAUUAUCUGGUCAAAGGACAGUUUCAGGCGGGCAGUUUGACUGGGGCGGUCGCCUCCCAAACGGUAACGGAGGCGCACAAAGGUUUCCUCUGAACGUGUAGAAAUCGUAUCUAGAGUGUAAAGGCAUAAGGAAGCUUGACUGUGAGACCUACAAGUCGAGCAGGGACGAAAGUCGGUCUUAGUGAUCUGACGGUGCUGAGUGGAAAGGCCGUCACUCAACGGAUAAAAGUUA
Molecule: ribosomal RNA, 367 nt
Filed under: uncultured organism
Description: bacterial LSU rRNA
Rfam family: Bacterial large subunit ribosomal RNA
Source: RNAcentral